Molecule: regulatory RNA element, 120 nt
Organism: Stenotrophomonas daejeonensis
Lineage: Bacteria; Pseudomonadati; Pseudomonadota; Gammaproteobacteria; Lysobacterales; Lysobacteraceae
Rfam family: SAM riboswitch aptamer (S box leader)
About the family: The SAM riboswitch is found upstream of a number of genes which code for proteins involved in methionine or cysteine biosynthesis in Gram-positive bacteria.
Source: Rfam
CCACCAUCGAGACCGGCAGAGGGACAGGCCCUUUGAAGCCGGGGCAACCAGCAGACGCGAAAGCGCCUGUGCUUGGUGCCAAAUCCUGCGGUGACCUCUGUGUCCGCCGAAAGAUGGUUC